Molecule: transfer RNA, 76 nt
Filed under: Acidobacteriota bacterium
Lineage: Bacteria; Pseudomonadati; Acidobacteriota
Description: Acidobacteria bacterium tRNA-Gly
Rfam family: tRNA
About the family: Transfer RNA (tRNA) molecules are approximately 80 nucleotides in length.
Source: RNAcentral
GCGGGAGUAGCUCAACAGGCAGAGCGCGGGUCUUCCAAACCUGAGGCCGCGAGUUCAAUUCUCGUCUCCCGCUUCA